GAACGACCUCCUUCACUAUUUCCCCUGCUUCUGGCGUCCUGACCGCUGAGCUGCCCAGAGCCUGAGGUCUUCUAGAAAGCUGGAUUACAGAGGGCUCAGGUUCAUCAACUAGAAUCUCGGAUUACUUUUAAAGACAGCCCAGGCUGGGACCAUUUUAAUGAACAGACCUGGAAAGCUGAGGAAAUAUCCCAUGGAGAUUGGACUCAUCGCCUGUUGCUGCAUAGGACAGAUUUCUGGAGCUUAAGGCAUGGAAAUCGGGAAGCUUUUACUAUCUCAGGGGCUCCGUGGCCAAGGAGCAGGCUGGGUGUGGCUAUUUGUCUCUGAUUUAGGAUUAGCCCCAGGCUUCAGUCUCGGUUCUGGCCAGCACUGCAGUUCCUUGGAGACUCUCCUCGGGUCUGAUCUGCUUCCUUGAUUGCUAUAGCUUCUGCAAGCUCUCCAGACUAUACGUCAGGACCAAAGGAUGAAGAAUCUCCAUGAGAUCCAGGCAUCUCGUGAUGUGAUGUGGCAGUGUACUUGGUCUGAACCUUGGAAAGGGAGAAAAGCACCCCGAGAUGGCAACUGUGUGGCAGAACAGACAGGAACCCCAGUGCAGUGUGACGUGAAGAAGCUCCACACAGGGCUCACCCUGUGCACCUGGGCCCUUGCUCCCCUAUCUACACCCAUGGAGCAGGGAAGAGGCCGUGAGAAGGGACGAGCUGGGACACCUCCCUCAUAGCAGGAAUUCUGACCACCUGGCAGACAGCUGAACUCAGAGCAGGGAGCCUGAUCCCAAGGCAAAGACAUUGACCACACUGCAGGGACACUGACCGCACUGCAGGGACACUGACCGCACCAAACCCACUCUUUGUCAAAAAUAGGAAGAUAAGCCUUGGUUCUGGAGGAUCACUUCACUUUUCAGUCAGGGAAGUCCUUAUUUUACAAACGUAAGGAUCUGAACUCAGAUCCCCAGCAGCUGAGGGAAAAUCCAGGCAUUCCAGGGUGGGAAGAAACUUGCCUGACAGAACAUCCACCAACACAGGGUGUCCUGUCGCAGCAGAAAGGAGCCUGGGAAUCUGUGGGGACAGUUAGUGCCACCUGGACAUCUCUCCGCUCUGCAAGUGAGGUGACAGAGCCUUAUAGAGAAAAGUGAAGCAGUACAUGGAAACCGCCAUGCGCUGUCAUGCUUAGACCGUACAGGUGCCUAUUCGGAGGACUCCAUUGUGAGGAAGUCCUCCUCCUGUGGAAUGAGAGCAAAGGGCAACAGUGGCCAUCACAAAAGAACGGUCAUUAUCCCUGCAAGAACAACAGAGAGAAAUGAGGAGCCCAAGUUGGAAGGCCCGAAGACACAAACAAAUGUUGUAUGCUUUUUCCAGAUAAAUUUCCUGGUGUGUCUUAACAGCAUUCUGCUCCCAGCUUCCGUGAGUGAUGUGGACACAGCCCCCCAGUGGUUCUGACUGCCUGUGAGUCCUGUGCCUAGAGGCAGCUGCAUGAACCCAAGAACCCACAGGGGUGCUGUCAGCCACAAGCUGGCAGGCCCCUUUUCUGAGUGGCUCUUUCUCAACAUCUUAGUGCUCUGUAGCCUUAAACUGCGUGGUUGUAAAUGUACUGCCCUCCGUCACCAAGCAUGCUUAUGAACGGACUACUCAUCCGUGAACAUGCUUAUGCUCCCUAGAUAAAAUCCCCAUGCUCUUUUCAGAGGAGUACGUCCACUUUCAAAGGAUUCCCAGCAACUCUGUACCUGCUGCGGUAAAGUAUUAAAUCUUUCCCCACCUCUUUAUGUACUAUCAUCUGCUUGACUUGUCUUUGCACUCAUGGGCAGGAGAGCCCUUGGAGUUAAAUUAUAACACCUUCUAAACCAUCCGGGUAGCCACCAACAGUAUGCAUCAAUGGUUGAGUUCUCUGUUUGGUUAGAACUUGUGAUCUCAAAUGCAGCCUAAUUGAGCUGUGGCUCCUUUGGGGCCAACCAAGUCCUUUAAAGCCAAUGAGAUUGUCCAUGUGGACGUUCUCAAGUUCCUCAUGUUCACAUUAGCAGUGACCUGGGACGGGAGGCAGAGAAAUACUACCCUUCCCCCGGUGAUUCUGUUCAGAGGACAGGGCUCAGUGGGAGGAUACAUCCUUAAACCCUUUCAAAGUUGUCUGGAGAAGCUGUGUGGAAGAAGAGACAUGGGUGACCCUUUUGCUCCAUGAGAAGACAAGCAGAGACAAAGGAGAGAGUUUUUUAACAGUCAGACCCCCAUGCGAUGCUGCCCAAGGGGAUCCUUUUUCAAAAUCCCAGAUCUUAUCUAGAAGAGAGGCUAUAGUAACUCAUGUCUAGAGAGAAAUUGUUUUGUCCCCUCCACAGCUAGCCCCUGUCUUGCAGGCCCCUGUGAGGCUGGGUCAUGUUCCAGAGUACCCGGGAAACCAAGUGUCAAGACUCCACAGUAAGAGAAGCUAGAUGGCCCUCUGCAACCAGUGCUGGACAGCGCAGAUCAAGGAAGCCCUGGCUAGAGGUUGCAAGGUUUGGCCAAUAGGCUGUGAAAGAGGAAGAACAUUCCAGGCAAACGGACAGCCUGGUACAAAGUCCUGUGUUCCCCAGAUCCAAGGCCACAGCCUCUGCAGAGAACAGCAGGUUCGUUUCCAUUGGUGUCGGAGACUGUGUUGCCUAGCACAGUGGACCUCACCUGCACUCUGCUGGAUACACUGGGACAGCAGGUGUGACUCUGAUACCCAGUCCGAGUACCAGUCCACCGGGGCUCCGAGUGGCGGGGUGAGGAAGUACAGACAAGCCACGAGUGAGUGAGCAGGUUUGGGGGGAGGGUCAUUCCUCACCUAAUUCUCUGCUCUCGGGUAGCAAGCAAAGAUGCAUACAUACAGUUCAUGCCCCCCUGGGCUCCUCUGUCCUCUGCAAGUGGGGAGAAAGAUCCUUACAGAGAAAGGGAGAGAUAACUCAUGGAGUCUGCUGUCUGUCUUCAUACCUGAGAACUGCAAAUGACCCAAACCUAAAGAAGGCUCCAUCCUGAGGCUGUGGCCAUGGGCUGGGUGCCAUCCACUGAACAAGGGACCCUUCUCCCGGGGUCAGAACGAAGGGUAACAGCAGCCAUUGACAUAAGAGUGUCCGAUGACUUUUUUGCUUCUUUGUCAAAAAUCACGUGUUCAAAGAUGUGUGGAUUGUUAUCUGGAUCUUCUAUUUGGUUCCUCCUCUCUGUUCUUAUGCCAAUACCAGGCUGUUUUCAGUACUGUAACUCUGUAGUAAAGUUUGAAGUCAGGAAUUGUGAUGCUUCCAGAAGUUCUUUUAUUGUACAGGAUUGUUUUUGGCUAUUCUGGGUUUUUUUGCUUUUCCAUAUGAAGUUGAGUACCGUUCUUUCAAGGUCUGUGAAGAAUUUUGCUGGGAUUUUGAUGGGCAUUGCGUUGAAUCUGUAGGUUGC
This is a long non-coding RNA of Alexandromys fortis (reed vole), 3383 nucleotides long. RefSeq lists it as uncharacterized. The transcript has 3 exons. Lineage: Eukaryota; Metazoa; Chordata; Mammalia; Rodentia; Cricetidae. The record is from RefSeq and is a predicted model, not a curated record.